GGCCCAAUCAGUCAAUUAAGCUGCAAAUAGGGGAGAUUUAGGCUGUGUGUGGGGCACGAGUUAGAAGGGAGAUCACCUACAAGGGAACAAGCAGGAAUUCUAUAAAGCCAGGAGGCUGGCAACAGGAAGUCUGCAGUCUCUCCCCCUGAGAUAAGGGAGAAGGAAGGAGGAAUAGGAACCUGUGAGGAAGGGUUUACACAGUAGGCCUAAGAGAGAGGUUGCUGACUAGGAAGACUGAAGAGCAGACCCGCCCUCUGUCGUAUCUGUCACUGGUGGACUGGUGAAGUUCUCCUUCCCUCUUCCCUAUGUGGUGCACAAAUAAUAAAGACUGACCAGAAAUAAGGGUUAAACAACAGCACUUCCGGGGUGGCGGUGAAGUCCAGGACCUCCACUCCAUGGGUAAUUAGAACCUGUAGAGGAGGAGCACUGGAGAGUCCCUCGAUGACAGUUGGGAUGGAAGAAAUGGACCGAAAACCCUCUAGUUGUUGACAUUCCCAGGAACAGGAGCAGCACUGCCACUGCUAAUUUAUAGACCAGGAGCCGUGUUUGGAAGAGCUGAUCAGCAGUGUCAAAGGUAGUCCCCAUGGGGUCACCUGCCCUGGAGAAGUAUCUUCAGUGCAAAAGGCUCCCAGGAUAACACCUGGAAGGAGGGUCCCAACCAUGGGAUCAUUUCCCUACAUUUCAGCUUGAUGUUCUCCUUUCUUGAGACUAUCCUGCUCCUCCUCAACAGCACAGAGGCUGUCAGACUCUGGGUGGGACUGUUCUACUGUGUCCCGGAAAGGCUCCUUUGUGUACCUCUGUUUCCCUUAGCUCCUCCAGUUCGGCCACUCUGGUCUCAAGAGCCCAUAGUCGGUCUCUGAAGGGCCAUGAGCUCCUUGUAUCUAAUGUACACACAUGCCACCUUCCCACAAGAUUGGUAAUCAUACAUGCUGCAGUCAGUGCAAUAAAUUGAAUA
This is a long non-coding RNA of Chelonia mydas (Green sea turtle), 955 nucleotides long. RefSeq lists it as uncharacterized. The transcript has 5 exons. The record is from RefSeq and is a predicted model, not a curated record. NCBI's taxonomy places the organism in Eukaryota, Metazoa, Chordata, Testudines, Cheloniidae.